This is a non-coding RNA of Cavia porcellus (domestic guinea pig), 314 nucleotides long. It matches the Rfam family "7SK RNA". Rfam says of the family: 7SK was discovered as an abundant small nuclear RNA in the mid-70s but a possible function has only recently been suggested. The record is from Rfam. NCBI's taxonomy places the organism in Eukaryota, Metazoa, Chordata, Mammalia, Rodentia, Caviidae.
AAAAGACCUGGCUGUGGUAUCUGUCACUGCACUGACCUCCAACGUUGAUUUGGCCGAUCUGGCCGUCUAGGUGGGUGCCCCCUUUCCCCUCACUGUUCAUGUGCAUCCCUCCCUCACCUGCAGGCUCUGUCUGAGAGGACGACCUUCCCUGAUAGAGUAGGACUGUUUCCUUGGUCAAGGGUGUAUGAGCUGAGCCCCCUUGCUAGAACCUCCAAACACCAAAGCGGCACUUUCAAGGUGCUUUCUUAUUCCCUUUAACCUUCACAGCUGCCCCAGUAAGAGGGAGGCAAGAGGGAGCUAUUUUUGCUAUUCAC